This 1466-nucleotide long non-coding RNA is filed under the name Callithrix jacchus (white-tufted-ear marmoset). RNAcentral's name for it is "lncRNA (ENSCJAG00000071763.1)". The record is from RNAcentral. Lineage: Eukaryota; Metazoa; Chordata; Mammalia; Primates; Cebidae.
AUUGGAAUAGUGCUGCAAUAAACAUGGGAGUGUGGAUAUAUCUUAUAUCUUUAAUGUACUAAUUUCCUUUCUUUUGAGUAUAUAUCUAGUAGUGGGAUAGCUGGAUCCUAUGGUAGUUCUAUUUUUAGUUUUUUGAGAAAACUCCAAACUGUUCUCCAUAGUAGUUGUAUUAAUGUAGUUUUCCGCCAGCAGUGUACAAAGUUCCUUUUUCUCCACCUCCUUGCCAGCAUUUGUUAUUGACUGUAAUUUGCAAAUAAGCCAUUUUAACUGGGAUGAGGUGAUAUCUCAUUUUAGUUUUUAUUUGCAUUUCUCUGAUGAUCAUUGAUGUGGAGCACCCUUUCAUAUAUCUAUUUGCCAUUUAUAUGUCUUUUUUAAAUAAAUGUCUAUUCAAAUAUUUUGACCAAUGUUUAAUUUGAUUAUUGGAUGUUUUCUUAGAGUUAUUUGAGCUUCUUGUGUAUUCUUGUUAUUAAUCCAUUGUCAUAUGGAUAGUUGCAAAUAUUUUCUCAUAUUCUGACAAUUGUCUCUUCACUUUGUUGAUUGUUUCCUUUGUUGUGUGGAAGCUUUUUAACGUGAUGUGCUCCUAUUUGUCCAUAUUUGCUUUGGUUGCCUGUGCUUGUGGAGUAUUACUCAAGAAAUCUUUGCCCAGUCCAAUGUCCUGAAGAGUUUCCCAAGGUUUUUAGUUUUUUUUUUUUUUUAGUAGUUUCAUAGUUUGAGAUUGUAUAUUUAAGUCUUCAAGCCAUUUUUAUUUAAUUUUUGUAUAUGGUGAUAGAUAAAGGUGUAGUUUCAUUCUUCUGCAUAUGGGUAUUCAGUUUUCCCAGCACCGUUUAUUGAAGAGACAGCCUUUUCCCCAAUGUUUGCCUUGGCACCUUUGUUGAAAAUGAGCUCACUGUAGGUGUGUGGUUUUAUUUCUGGGUUCUGUAUUCUGUUCCAUUGGUGUAUGUGUCUCUCUCUCUGUGUCUCUAAUAAUAUUUGCUUUCCAUAUUGGGAUGUUUCCUUAUAUGGGAACACUAAAACAUGUUCCCAUAUAAGGAACAAGAAUAUAUGGGAGCAUAUAUAUUUAUAACCAUUGUAUCCUCUUGCUGAAUUUACCUUUUAAUCAUUACAUAAUGACCUUCUUUGUCUUUUCUUAUAGUCUUUGACUUGAAAUCUGUUUUGUCUAAGUAUAGCUACUUCUGCUUUUUUCUGUUUUUCAUUGGCAUGGAAUAUAUUUUUCUAUCUCUUUAUUUUCAGUCAAUGUGUGUCUUUAUAAGUGAAGUGUGUUUCUUGUAGGCAAAAGAUCAUUGAGUCUUAUUUUUUUUAAUCCAUUCAGCCAAUCUAUGUCUUUUGUUUGGAGAGUUUAGUCCAUUUGUGUUCAGUUAUUAUUAAUAAGUCAGGACUAAUUUCUGCCAUUUUAUUUGUUUUCUGAGUUUUCUUUUAUAGUUUUUUCUUCCUUCUUUCAUUCUUAUCUUACUUUUAGCAAAGGUGAA